RNAcentral lists this ribosomal RNA (2886 nucleotides) under Clostridioides difficile BJ08. RNAcentral's name for it is "bacterial LSU rRNA". It matches the Rfam family "Bacterial large subunit ribosomal RNA". Lineage: Bacteria; Bacillati; Bacillota; Clostridia; Peptostreptococcales; Peptostreptococcaceae. The record is from RNAcentral.
UUAAGGGUGCAGGGCGGAUGCCUUGGCACUAGGAGCCGAUGAAGGACGUGAUAAGCUGCGAUAAGCUUCGGGGAGUUGCACGUAAACUUUGAUCCGAAGAUUUCCGAAUGAGGAAACUCACUUAGAGUAAUGUCUAAGUAUCAUUAAGUGAAUACAUAGCUUAAUGAGGGGAACUCAGGGAACUGAAACAUCUAAGUACCUGAAGGAAGAGAAAGAAAUUCGAUUCCGUAAGUAGCGGCGAGCGAACGCGGAUUAGCCCAAACCAAUAAAGUUUUCUUUAUUGGGGUUGCGGACAUAUCAUAACGAAGAGGUAUCGUAAUUGAAGAGGUUUGGAAAGACCCACCACAGAAGGUAAUAGUCCUGUAUGUUAAACGAGAAGACUUCAGAUAUGAUCCAGAGUACCACGGGACACGUGAAACCCUGUGGGAAGCAGGAGGGACCACCCUCCAAGGCUAAAUACUACCUAGUGACCGAUAGCGUAUAGUACCGUGAGGGAAAGGUGAAAAGAACCCCGGGAGGGGAGUGAAAUAGAACCUGAAACCCUGCACUUACAAGCUGUGGAAGCACAUUUCUUGUGUGACCGCGUACUUUUUGUAGAACGGGCCAACGAGUUACGUUAAGUAGCAAGGUUAAGCACUUAAGGUGCGGAGCCGUAGCGAAAGCGAGUUUUAACUGAGCGUUCAGUUACUUGACGUAGACCCGAAACCGGGCGACCUACCCAUGAGCAGGAUGAAGCGAAAGUAAAAUUUCGUGGAGGUCCGAACCCACGAGCGUUGAAAAGCUCGGGGAUGACUUGUGGGUAGCGGUGAAAUUCCAAUCGAGCCCGGAGAUAGCUGGUUCUCCCCGAAAUAGCUUUAGGGCUAGCCUCAAGGUGAGAGAUACGGAGGUAGAGCACUGAAUGUCCUAGGGGGUAUUGCACCUACCGAAGACUAUCAAACUCCGAAUGCCGUCAUCUUAUACUUGGGAGUCAGACUGUGGGUGAUAAGAUUCAUAGUCGAAAGGGCAACAGCCCAGAUCGUCAGCUAAGGUCCCUAAAUGUAAGUUAAGUGGUAAAGGAUGUGGGAUUGCACAGACAACCAGGAUGUUGGCUUAGAAGCAGCCACUCAUUCAAAGAGUGCGUAAUAGCUCACUGGUCGAGUGAUCCUGCGCCGAAGAUUUCCGGGGCUAAAACUUACUACCGAAGCUACGGCAUCAGUAAUGAUGGGUAGGGGAGCUUCCCAUACGGGUUGAAGCAUGACCGUAAGGACAUGUGGACAGUAUGGGAGUGAGAAUGUUGGCAUGAGUAGCGAGAUGUGGGUGAGAAUCCCACAGGCCGUAAACCCAAGGUUUCCAGGGGAAGGUUCGUCCGCCCUGGGUUAGUCGGGACCUAAGCUGAGGCCGAAAGGCGUAGGUGAUGGACAACAGGUUGAUAUUCCUGUACUACCGAUAACCGUUUGAGAGAAGGGAUGACACAGUAGGAUAAGCUAAGCACACUGUUGGUUAUGUGUGCCCAAGCAUUGAGGCAGUCAAAGCAGGCAAAUCCGCUUUGAUAAUGCUGGGAUGUGAUGGGGAGCGAAAUUUAGUAGCGAAGUAGCUGAUUUCACACUGUCAAGAAAAGUCUCUAUCGAGGUUAAAGGUACCCGUACCGCAAACCGACACAGGUGGGUGAGGAGAGUAUCCUAAGGCCAGCGAGAGAACUGUUGUUAAGGAACUCGGCAAAAUGACCCCGUAACUUAGGGAUAAGGGGUGCCACCAUCCGGUGGCCGCAGAGAAUAGGCCCAAGCGACUGUUUACCAAAAACAUAGGUUUCUGCUAAGUCGCAAGACGAUGUAUAGGAGCUGACGCCUGCCCGGUGCUGGAAGGUUAAGGGGAUCUGUUAGAGCAAUCGAAGCAGUGAACUUAAGCCCCAGUAAACGGCGGCCGUAACUAUAACGGUCCUAAGGUAGCGAAAUUCCUUGUCGGGUAAGUUCCGACCCGCACGAAAGGCGUAACGAUUUGGGCACUGUCUCAACAACAGACUCGGUGAAAUUGUAAUUCCGGUGAAGAUGCCGGAUACCUGCGACAGGACGGAAAGACCCCAUGGAGCUUUACUGUAGCUUGACAUUGGGUCUUGGUACUACAUGUACAGGAUAGGUGGGAGGCUUUGAAACCAGGACGCCAGUUUUGGCGGAGCCAUCCUUGGGAUACCACCCUUGUAGUACUGGGACUCUAACCAUAGGCCAUGAAUCUGGUCUUGGGACACUGUCAGGUGGGCAGUUUGACUGGGGCGGUCGCCUCCCAAAAGGUAACGGAGGCGCUCAAAGGUUCUCUCAGUACGGUCGGAAAUCGUACGUAGAGUGUAAAGGCAAAAGAGAGCUUGAUUGCAAGACAUACAGGUCGAGCAAGGAUGAAAAUCGGACUUAGUGAUCCGGUGGUUCUGCGUGGAAGGGCCAUCGCUCAACGGAUAAAAGCUACCCUGGGGAUAACAGGCUUAUCUCCCCCAAGAGUCCACAUCGACGGGGAGGUUUGGCACCUCGAUGUCGGCUCAUCACAUCCUGGGGCUGUAGUAGGUCCCAAGGGUUGGGCUGUUCGCCCAUUAAAGUGGUACGCGAGCUGGGUUCAGAACGUCGUGAGACAGUUCGGUCCCUAUCCGUCGCAGGCGUAGGAAAUUUGAGAAGACCUGUCCUUAGUACGAGAGGACCGGGAUGGACGUACCUCUGGUGUACCAGUUGUUCUGCCAAGGGCAUGGCUGGGUAGCUAUGUACGGAAUGGAUAAGCGCUGAAAGCAUCUAAGCGCGAAGCCAACUUCAAGAUAAGAUUUCCCACCGCAAGGGUAAGACCCCAGAAAGACUAUCUGGUUGAUAGGUCGAAGGUGUAAGUGCAGCAAUGUAUUUAGCUUAUCGAUACUAAUAGGUCGAGGACUUGACC